UACGAAGGGGGCUAGCGUUGCUCGGAAUCACUGGGCGUAAAGCGCACGUAGGCGGACUCUUAAGUCGGCGGUGAAAUCCUGGAGCUCAACUCCAGAACUGCCUUCGAUACUGGGAGUCUCGAGUCCGGGAGAGGUGAGUGGAACUGCGAGUGUAGAGGUGAAAUUCGUAGAUAUUCGCAAGAACACCAGUGGCGAAGGCGGCUCACUGGCCCGGUACUGACGCUGAGGUGCGAAAGCGUGGGGAGCAAACAGG
This 253-nucleotide ribosomal RNA is filed under the name uncultured bacterium. RNAcentral's name for it is "partial 16S ribosomal RNA". It matches the Rfam family "Bacterial small subunit ribosomal RNA", at positions 524 to 776 of the family's 1533-position model. The record is from RNAcentral.